AUAGAUACCCCGGGUAGUCCACGCCGUAAACGAUGUCGACUAGCCGUUGGGGACCUUCGUGUCCUUGGUGGCGUAGCUAACGCGCUAAGUCGACCGCCUGGGGAGUACGGUCGCAAGAUUAAAACUCAAAUGAAUUGACGGGGGCCCGCACAAGCGGUGGAGCAUGUGGUUUAAUUCGACGCAACGCGAAGAACCUUACCAGGUCUUGACAUCCAGAGAACUUUCCAGAGAUGGAUUGGUGCCUUCGGGAACUCUGAGACAGGUGCUGCAUGGCUGUCGUCAGCUCGUGUCGUGAGAUGUUGGGUUAAGUCCCGUAACGAGCGCAACCCGUUAUCCUUAUUUGCCAGCACGUCAUGGUGGAACUUUAAGGAGACUGCCGGUGCAAACCGGAGAAGUGGGAUGACGUCAAGUCAUCAUGGCCCUUAGACCUGGGCUACACACGUGCUACAAUGGCGCGUACAGAGGGCUGCAACCUCGCGAGAGUGGAGCUAACUCCGAAGAAACCGCGUUCGUACGGUCCGUAGUUGGAGUCGUGACUAACCG
RNAcentral lists this ribosomal RNA (543 nucleotides) under uncultured bacterium. Its description in RNAcentral is "bacterial SSU rRNA". It matches the Rfam family "Bacterial small subunit ribosomal RNA", at positions 778 to 1344 of the family's 1533-position model. The record is from RNAcentral.